UGGGGAAUAUUGCGCAAUGGGGGAAACCCUGACGCAGCAAUGCCGCGUGCGGGAUGACGGCCCUCGGGUUGUAAACCGCUUUCAGCAGGGAAGAUAACGACGGUACCUGCACAAGAAGCCCCGGCUAACUACGUGCCAGCAGCCGCGGUAACACGUAGGGGGCGAGCGUUAUCCGGAUUCAUUGGGCGUAAAGCGCGCGCAGGCGGGCUGCUAAGCGGGACCUCUAAUCUCGGGGCUCAACCUCGAGCCGGGUCCCGAACUGGCAGCCUCGGGUGCGGUAGGGGUAGGCGGAAUUCCCGGUGUAGCGGUGGAAUGCGCAGAUAUCGGGAAGAACACCGACGGCGAAGGCAGCCUACUGGGCCGUCACCGACGCUGAGGCGCGAAAGCUAGGGGAGCGAACAGG
This 403-nucleotide ribosomal RNA is filed under the name uncultured bacterium. RNAcentral's name for it is "bacterial SSU rRNA". It matches the Rfam family "Bacterial small subunit ribosomal RNA", at positions 355 to 776 of the family's 1533-position model. The record is from RNAcentral.